GGUGCAGAAACAGGACGGAGAAGGGGGCUGUAUUUCCCCUGGCGUGUGAAAUGGAUGUUAGUGACUAAAGCUCAAUUUUCCAGUUAAGGGAGGAGCCGAGACUUUUAAGUCGAGUGUUCCUGUGGGGCCAAAAGGAUGGUUUCAGAGAAAUCCCAGGAAGUGAGAGUGCUGGGAUAUGCGAGGGGCCCACGGAGCCCUCCCCUGCGUGUCUGAGAUCACACCCUGCGGGUACCCUGCCGUCGUGUGCUGAAGGAGGUGACUGGAUCUCGACUCCAGAGUUUGCUCCUGAGAUCGAAAAACAAAACAACCCAAUAAUAGUAAUGACAGCCCUGGGUGGGGACAGUUGCAGCAGGUCUCAUGAGAAACUCACUAAUUUUGUAGGUUCAGGGAAGGCGUGGGCAUGUUGGUGAAGUAAGGUUCUGAGUGGAAGAAGAAAAUGCUGCUUCUGGGGAAGAGAAUACCGUCAGAAGGAAGGAAAGAAAGGAGGGAGUGGGAGGGGAGGGGAAAUCAAGGGAGAGGAGAAGAGGGGAGGAGGGAAGGUGAGGUGAGGUGAUUGGUAUUCUGCCAAUCCCAUUCUGCACACUAGUGAGACCUAGCAAGGACUAGAGUUUCAGGGGGAAAAUACGAGAAUAAUGAAAGAUAACAGAGAGGAAAGAAAAAAGAAAUAAUUGAAAAGUUUGAAAGAAGAAAGACAACAGCUGAACCAAUGGAGGUGAAAAUAGAAGGAAAUGAAAAUUCUGCAAGCUUUUGUUUCAUGGAUAAAAGGACUGUAUUUUCUGGUCCAUUAUCAGGAUACAAGAUGGAAAAAAAAGCUAUUGAACUUGUGGAGAAAGUGGCUGGUUUAAAUUAGUCCUGUCCCUGAAAAUCCAAGCUGCGUGUUUGUCAGUCUUAUGGCUGAUUUAACUCAUAGGCCCAGGAGAGAAAGGAUAGAAGGAAGCCUGAAUGACCAGCAAAGAAUCUGCAUCCAAUCAACACUCAGAGCAUGUAUGCUACAUUCUUCAGAAACCUUCAGGAGUCAUAGACUGUGAUUGUAUCUGCUUCCCUGUGUCUACUUGCUGGCUUGGAACUUAUUAAGAUUGGAUCCUUCCUGGAAGAAAUUUGCUGAUGGAGGCAGAAGGACACUCAGAAUUGAAACUGGCUAUAAGAACAUAAGAAAAAGACCCCUGAAACUAGGAAAGAAAGCUUCAAAGAGAUGGUCAUUUAGACAUUUUUAAAGAAUGAGAGGAAUUGUUGGAGAAGAUUGGCAUGGGAGAAGAGAAUUGAAGCAGAGGGAACAGCAUGUACAAAGGUACAAAGAUGUGAAACAGAAUGACCCGCUGGAGGAACUACAUCCUACUGACUAGAAUAUAGUGUCCAUGUGGGCCUGUGGCACAAGGAGAGAUAGGAACCCAAACCCGGUUGGAAAAUACGUGGGCCUGUGGCACAAGGAGAGAGAGGAACCCAAACCCGGUUGGAAAAUACAAUCUGGGAGGCAGCUGCGGGGUGUGGAGGAGCCUCAGGUUAUUCACUAUCUACAGCAUGCCCAGGUAGAGUGGUUUCAGCAGUCAGAGAGUGCCCUCAGGCAAAGAAUAGCAGCUGCUGACAGCUGGAAAUUGUAAUCCAUGGUAAUGGUUGCAGCUGAGAUGUGGGUGGGUACCCCCAGCAUCUCCUAGAUCAACCAUACAUUUGUGUGAGCCAUUUGGUUUUCUCUAGUAGGUCUUGAUUUAAGUUCCUGAACUCUGCCCACCACCACCAGCAGCCAUGACUUCUUGGCAAGACUCCAAACCCCUCCCUACCUUCACUCUUUAGGUAAGUUGUUUAAAGAUGCUAUGCCUCCUUGGGAAUUUCAUUGAUUUCCAUGUUCCAUUCUGCCUGUUCAGCCUCUGCCAACCACUGUCCUGGACUCUCUGGCAGACUGUGCCUUCCUGGUUCUUGUUGGUUACUGGUUGCUUACUGGUUGCAGCCCUAUACCUGUUCUUGAACCCCAACUAUUGACCCUGUCCUAGGUUUAGUUUACUAACAUGGUCUAAAUUCUAGUACAGUGAUAACUUGAAGAAGCUCAGGCCUAACUUACUAACCAUAAUAUCUUACCCUAUUGGAACUGAGCUUUUCCCAAAGAGUACCUCCAGUGUCUUCGCUCCAUCAGGAUCAGUCAGUCCUACCCUCACCCAACUAUCUAUAGCCCUAAAGGACCACUGAUCAUGGCAAGUUAAGGCAAUUAUCAAUAAGGAAGAACAAUGAUAAAGUAUUAGAAGAAGUUAAGUUAAAACCUUGUGUUGCUGAAUUUGAAAUAGAGAAGUAUCAAUAUUAACUUGUAAGGUAUUUUAUCUUUUAAAAAUUCCCUUGCUCUGUCCACUGAAAAGCCAAGAAAUAAUGAUCAACCUAGUAUCAAUGAAUAUCUCUAGAGCCAAUAUUGUGAAUCUGAAAUCUAUUUUCCAUUAAAAGAAAUCAUGGCUGAUUCUAGAUCUAGGGCAGGAAAUGUACAAGAUGAGUCUGGAACAUCUUAUAAUAGAAAGGAAGGAAGGAAGCUACACAUGAUCAUUAGGUGUAGGGUCCAGCCCUACAGGGCUUAGCAGGUGUUCUCCCCGUGUGCAAAGAUGAGAGAUUGUAAGAAAUAAAGACACAAGACAAAGAGAUAAAGAGAAAACAGCUGGGCCCGGGGGACCACUACCACCAAGACACAGAGACCGGUAGUGGCCCUUCCCUUUUAGGUAGCCGAAGCAAAGAGGGAAGGCAGUAUAUGUCAGCGUUUUCUUCCAUGCACUUAUAAGAAAGAUCAAAGACUUUAAGACUUUCACUAUUUCUUCUACCGCUAUCUACUAUGAACUUCAAAGAGGAACCAGGAGUAUGGGAGGAACAUGAAAGCGGACAAGAAGCGUGACCAUUGAAGCACAGCACCACAGGGAGGGGUUUAGUCCUCCGGAUGACUGUGGGCAGGCCUGGAUAAUAUCCAGCCUCCCACAAGAAGCUGGUGGAGCAGAGUGUUCCCUGACUCCUCCAAGGAAAGGGAGAUUCCCUUUCGCGGUCUGCUAAGUAACGGGCGCCUUCCCAGGCACUGGCAUUACCGCUUGACCAAGGAGCCCUCAAGCAGCCCUUAUGCGGGCGUGACAGAGGGCUCACCUCUUGCCUUCUAGGUCACUUCUCACAAUGUCCCUUCAGUACCUGACCCUAUACCUGCCGGUUAUUCCUAGGUUAUAUUAGUAAUGCAACAAAGAGUAAUAUUAAAAGCUAAUGAUUAAUAACAUUUAUACCAAUGAUUGAUAAUUGUCCACGAUCAUCUCUAUAUCUAAUUUGUAUUUUUUUAUUCCAACUAUUUUCUUUAUUAUACUGCUACAGCUUGUGCCUUUGGUCUCCUGCCUCGGCACCUGGGUAAUCCUUCACCCACAAUUAGGGCCAUGUUAAAGGAAUUCAGGAGUCACUUAUUAGCAAAGACAGAAUAAUUGGAGCACAAGCAUCAAGAAGAAUAAAAACUGAAAUCAUUUGAAAUGCACCAAAUUAUGUUUGAAUCCAUGGGUUUAAAAUGUUACCUUUUUAAAAAACUCUAUUUGAUCACCUGUGGAGUAUGAUUAGGAAGCAACUUAACUAUUUUGAGAACUUUUAAAUAAAGGGAAAGAAUCAGACACUUGUUCUGCCUUUCGUAUAUGAACUGAAUUAUUAGGUAGCCAAAUAGUCAGGGGAGGGGUCUUUUAAUAGACAUUAAAGCUAAUAAAUUAAGAAACAGUGAUUGAAUUCAAAUAUCAUUUGAAACCCUUAAUAUGUUAAUAGAACUAGGCAAUUAGCAUCAAUGGCUGCUAACAUACACACACACACACACACACAUACCCACACACACACAUCACACACACAUACAUGACAUUAUGUGCUAUUUGGUAAAAGGACACAACACAGUAUCAUCUCCAAAGUAGUCUUGCCAAAAAAAAUCAAACCUAUCUAAUCAAAUCUCUAAAUCCAACUACUAAUUUACAGAAAAUACAAGUGAGAGGGAACAUGCUAAACUACACCAUACAAUGUAAUUAACAAAAUUCAUACUGUAGGAAUCUAUUAAUGAAGCAAUUUAGUUUAUUCAACAAAUAAAGUGCAAGGUGAAAGAAGAAUAUGGCGAAUUAUAGAUUAAAAGAGAUUUAAAAGACAUCAUUUUUUAAACUGAUAAAACUUAACUAUAGUGUUUAGGGAUGCACCCUGGAGUGAUAAAGCAUUUUUAAAAAGCAAAGAAGCCUAGUGCAUUACAAGAAUUACUAAAGGACUGGAAGAGUCUGGGUUUUUAUUUUGUAAUAUUUCUAAAACUGAGUCCCUUGAAUGCAAAUCCCCCCCAAAAAAAAUAGAAGGGAUUUUUUUUUUUUUUUUUUAGAAGGAGUUUUGCUCUUGUUGCCCAGGCUGGAGUCCAAUGGCACGAUCUUAACUCACUGCAACCUCUGCCUCCCGGG
RNAcentral lists this long non-coding RNA (4403 nucleotides) under Homo sapiens (human). RNAcentral describes it as "HSALNT0016886". The record is from RNAcentral. Lineage: Eukaryota; Metazoa; Chordata; Mammalia; Primates; Hominidae.